RNA transcript from Vitis vinifera (wine grape), 6331 nucleotides. RefSeq lists it as uncharacterized. The transcript is spliced from 9 exons. The record is from RefSeq and is a predicted model, not a curated record. NCBI's taxonomy places the organism in Eukaryota, Viridiplantae, Streptophyta, Magnoliopsida, Vitales, Vitaceae.
AAGAGCAAAUCUUAGGGAGCAAGUCUCGCUUUGCAUCGCGCCAAUUGGUAUUUAAAGUAGACAUACAUACAACAAUAGAUUCAUUAGGCAUAUGAUAUGCAUUCAUCGCCUUGCCCCCUCUGUCAUUUCAUCCCUUUUAAUCGGUUAUUCCGAAAAAAUAUUGUCAGGGAGAAGAACAAAUCUUAGUGAGCAAGCUGGAGAAGGACAAAUCUUAGUGAGCUAGUCGAAGAAGAACGAAUCUUAGUGAGCAAAUCUCCCUCCGCAUCGCGCCAGGAGGCAUUUGAAGUAGACAUACAUACAGCAAUAGAUUCAUAGGCAUAUAGUAUGCGUUCAUCGCCUUGCCCUUUCUGUCGUCUCACGUUCCCCGCCUCUCAACUUCAGAGGCAUGCGAAUGAUCACUUGGAGGAGGAGGAACUCAGAAGGGACAUGGAGUUUGCCCAGGAAAUUGCUAUUGCCCCAACUAGCCCACCCAAAACCCUGAAUAAUCCAGUGGAGCAUGGCAUGUUAUUUGAAACAAGCUCUAGAAAAACUUAUGAAAGAAGCAGCUCAAGGUCUGAUGAGAGUAGUAAUUGCAGUGGAGAAAUGUCCAUUGAUGAAAAGGUUUUUCACUUAGCUCGUUUACAAAUUAGGAGCACCUUCUACAGAGUUGAAGAUGGUUUGAUGGCCUUGUUGAGAAACUGCUUGGAAUCAGAACUAGGAAACUCAACCUGUAUAUUGUCUGGCUCUGUUAUUCAUUUUCAAAGCAUUGAAUCAGAGGAUGUUGGGUGGGGUUGUGGUUGGCGUAAUAUCCAAAUGCUCAGCUCUCACUUGGUUAUGCAAAGACAAGAAGCAAGGCAAGUUUUGUUUGGUGGUUCAGGAUUCAUUCCUGAUAUACCAUCACUCCAAAGAUGGCUUGAGAUUGCUUGGGAAAGAGAUUUCGAUACAGUUGGCUCGGAGCAUUUCAAUCACAAAAUAUAUGGCACAACAAAUUGGAUUGGAACCACUGAAUGUGCUGCACUAUUUCGUUCUUUUGGUCUGCGGGCAAGGAUAGUGGAUUUUGGUCCUAAGGAAAUUAAAUCACCAUAUCCUCAAAAAAAUAGUCGGGGCAAGAGGAAAGCAGAUGAAGUUUGUGGACCAAUUGACAAAUUUCUACUUCGAAGGGAACCAAGGGAUCAAGAUAUUUCCCAACCAGGUUCCAGCAGGCAUGAUUCGUGUAACUUGGCAGACAGUACAGAGUCUGAUAAAUGUUUCACAAGGAAUGAUAAAGGUCGUCAAGUUCUUGUUGAUUGGGUAUGGAAUUAUUUCUCUGACAAUAAGUUCGCCAAAUCAGGCAGCAAUGAUGUUAUUGUCACUGACAAAGCGCCCUUGUACUUUCAGCAUGAUGGCCAUUCGAGAACCAUCGUUGGAAUUCAAGUCAAACAUCAGCUCAAUGGGAUGCAUCAAUACAACCUAUUAAUUUUGGACCCUACUCAUAAAACAGCAGCUCUGGAAAGAUCACUUAAAGAAAAUGUUGGAUGGCAGAAGUUUAUUAAAAGAGGGGUUCACACACUGAAAAAGCUGCAAUACCAGUUAUGUCAUAUUGAUCCUGGCAUUGCCCAUGCUGAGGAGUUGGAGCAGCUCAAGACCUUGGACAGCAUUUUUCUUGAAUUCUAGAUGAAUAUCUUGAACUACUAUGAUUGUCUUAGAUUCAGAAGCAAGGGCAACAAGUUCACAAUGUGCAGCAGCAGAGCCACUUGAAAAUCCUUUGGCAAACUUGGCUUGAAUCAGGCCACCAAUGAAGUGGCAAGGCAUCACAGCCCAAGCUACAAGACCCAUUCUCCAGUUAAGUUUCAUGGUUACUAUUGUUGCAAUCAGUAUGGAGGAGAUACAUUGGACGAUAACAGACAUACGAUCCGAGAUUAUGGUUUUGACCGUUGAGGUAUCAUUGAUGAUCCGUGAGGUAAGUGAGCCAACAUUAUUCUCAGGUUUCUCGAACCACGCUAAUUCAUUGUUUAGUAUGCCUGAAAGAAUUUAAGAAAAGGUGUCGGUUUAUGCUUUUAUAGUUCUGAAUUUCUGAUGGAAACUCAAACAUUCACUAAACCAAUAACCUACUAAAGUUGAUGAAGUAAAUGAUGUGAAUUCAUGAUUAGAGUAGCAAAUACCUGAAUACAGGGCUUGUCUAAGGUUAGUCAUGGCCUUCUCUCCAAUUACUCCAAAGAAGUAAUGCUGCAAGGUGUGAGUGAAUAAUGAAAGCAGCCCUAUUAGAGAGAAGAGGAUUGAAUACAAUCCAACUCGUUGCUUUGCGUCUUCCUUGUAAUAGGCUACUCCUAUUGUUAUGAUGAAGUAUCCAAAAAAGGGCUUUGAGAUGCCAGAAAGAGCUGCUGCAAAUGAGCCAAUAGCAGUCUUUAUAAGCUCACUUUUCUUCAAGCCAAACCAGAUUCUGAAAAACUGAACUCUUUUCCCUCUAACCCUCUGUUCCUCUUCCUUCAAAGCAUCUCUAGGAUGUUUGUUGGGUUCCUCAGAUUGGUCCAGGUCUUGAAAUGAAAUCUCUUGGUCUGUACUUGCAUUUUCUUCAGUAAGAUCUGUAACUCUGUCAUUCAUUCAAUUUAACUUAGUUAAUUAAUGUCUUUUUCUGUUUACCAUGAUUGUGCGAAGAAGGGAGGCUGUGCACCAACCUUGAGCCUUGGUCUGGACAGAGGUUCUGCAUGUUAAAUAAAUUAUUAUAGAAAUUGCUGGUAUCUAGCAAGUCGCUGUGUGUUCCCGUCUCUUUAACUUGGCCAUUCUCUAUGACUGCAAUCAUAUCUGCAUUAAUCACAGUUGACAUCCUGUGUGCAAUCAAGAUGACUGUUCUCCCCUGCAUAGCUUUCUCAAUAGCAGCUUGAACCAGCUUCUCUGACUCUGAAUCAAGUGCACUUGUGGCCUCAUCAAGUAAAAGAAUUGGAGGAUUCUUUAUAAUGGCUCUUGCUAUUGCUAUUCUCUGUUUUUGUCCACCUGAUAAUUGCACUCCUCUUUCUCCUACCUGAAGCCCAUUUUAGCCACAACGAGUUAGCCACAAUGAGAAUAUGUUUAUCGAAAAGAAACAUUACAAAGAUUGAUAUAUCAAACCAUUCUACACAUUACUAUCAUAGAUGAGUGUAUGAAGGAUUAGAAGUUGGGUUUUUUCUUUAUAGUCUGCAAGUAAAACUAGUAGUCUCUGUGGUUGUAUGCGUGCAUGUGUUUUUCUAUGUGGGUUUGGUGUUGGGUAUAGUUAGCUGACCUCUGUUGAGUACUGAUCUGGGAGUUGGGUUAUGAAAGAGUGUGCAUUUGCCAUCAAUGCUACAUUCUGGACUUCUUGAUCAUCUGCUUCCAUGCUUCCUACUUUAAUGUUAUCCUUGAUGGUGCCAGAAAAGAGCGAUGGCUCUUGAAAUACUGCUCCUAUGUUCUUUCGGAGGAACUUCAAGUCUAGAUCCUUAAUGUUGUAGUUGUCAAUGAGAAUCUCACCUGGAGGGAUGCUCACUUCAUUAGGCUUCAGGCGAAUUCAGAUCUUAUACAUUCACAUGUUUGUGCUGCAUUCUGGUCCUUUACUCUUGCAUGCUUGUUUUCAUAUCCACAAUCAUAUAUGACAUUCAUGCAUAUUUAAUAUUGGUACUUGUAUGACAGGCAUGUGAAAAUAUGUAAAUGCAACUAUCAAUUAGUUUGCAUUAAUUGUAUAGAAACUUUCAACAAAAAGACUUAGAACCUUAGAGGUCUGGGACCGAGCUGCAAACCUUGUGAUGGAUCAUAGAAUCUCGCAACUAGGGAGAUGACAGUGCUCUUCCCACACCCACUACUACCCACUAAAGCCACCACCUUUCCUGCUGGGAUGGAAAAUGAAAAUCCAUCAAGGAUUAAUCUCUCUUUCCGGGAUGGGUAGGUGAAGUAUACAUCCUGCAUGUCAAUAUUGCCAUUGAUCUUCUCGAGUGUUUUCCCUUCAGAAUCAUAGCUUAUGGCAGGUUUUCUUUUGAUCACCUGAAAAACCUCAUUUCCUGCAGCCUUUGCACUAUUAAAGAUUUGAAUGUCUGGUGCAGCAUAAGUGAGUGAUCUGCAAUCAGAAAAAGAACAAACAGGGCUCAAAUUAAUAUCUGAAGGAAUACAUGUUUUCAGCUCAAGACCAGGAUUGAGUUGUUGAGACUGCUUCUUUCUUACAUAGCUCCAAAGAGAAUGCUCAUCACUGCCGCUAUGAUGUCUCCUCCACUUGAUCUCUUGGCUGUGACAACAAUGGCUCCAACCCAAAUGAUCAGAGCCCAGCAACAGGUGGUUACAGUUUGAAACAAACCUGUCCCAACUCCCUUUAUUAUUGCCUCUCUCUUGCUUAUCCUGAACUGUUUGUCCAUGCACUCUGAGAAAGACUUGGCAGCAGUACUCUCUCCCACGAAUGCAAAUACUGUUUUGAUUUGAGAUAGUGUCUGUAGUACAUCAGAAAAGCUGAAAUGGCAUUCAUCUUCUUGCUAUAAGUGGCUCCAGUCACAAGAACCAAAGGAACAACCAACAAGGUGAGCAGUGAAACUUCCCAACAGCAAAUGGCAGCGAUCAAUAUUCCAGAGAAGCACGUUGCGAUGUUUGAUAGAAAAUGGCCCAACUGUCAGCGAAAAAGCUUAUCAGUGUCAAAAGCUCCAAUCUCCUGGUUAAGGGCUGCCCUCAGGAAUGCUAGUCGUAGACGUGAGACCUGUCUUUCACUUGCAUGCAUCCAACACCCAACCUCUGAAAAUUCCAAACAUUAAACGUUAGGUCUUGUUUGGGAACGUUUUUAAAAACAGUAAUCUGUUUGAGAAUUUAAAUAUGAAAAACAGUUUUCUUGAUUUAUUCUCCAUAAAGGCAAUAUGAAUUUCUGUACAAUACAAAAGUUUUCAAAAUAUUCUCUAUAAUUUCAAUUGUUACUCAUAACACUCUAAAAUAAAACGAUUGAAAACUUAAAAUGUUUUUAACCUGUUUUUAAUAUUUUUAAAUAUGUUUUAAAAAUAAUAUUUAUAUUUAGUGUUUUAUUUUUAAUUAUUUUACAUGUUUGUAUAAUUAUUUUUAAAACCGUUGUAGAAAACAAGUGAAAACAACUAAAAGAUGUUUUCUGAAAACACCUUAUAUUAUGAUCUUAAGAAUAGAAAACAGAUAAUAAUUGUUGGUUGUCAAACGUGUUUUUUUUAUGUUUUUUGUUUUAGAGAAUAGAAAAUGAUUCUAAAAAACAGUUCCCAAAUAGGUCCUUAGGGUGUGUUUGGGAAUGUUAUCAAAAAUAGCUUUUGAGAACAAUUCUCAAUUUUUGUUUGGAAAUUUAAACAUGGAAAACAAUUUUAUGAAUUUGUUCUCCAUGAAAAUACUCGGUAUAUAUGUAUAAUACAAAAGUGUCCAAACUAUUAUCAAAAGUAGUUUUUGAAAAUAAUUCUUAAAAACAGUUCUCAAUUUUUAUUUGGAAACUUAAAUAUGAAAAACGGUUUUCUCAGUUUAUCUCCAUGAAAAUACUAUGUAUUUAUAUAUGAUACAAAAUUGUUCAUCUAUAUUUUCAUUUGUUGCUUAAAACACCUUACAAAAAACAUUUGAAAUAAUCUAAAACAUGUUCUAAAAAAUAACUUGUUUUCAUAUCUCAUAAACAAUUGUUUUCUAUCAAAGUUUACCAAACGUAAAACUGUUUUCUAUUAUAGAGAAUAGAAAACUGUUUCCAAAAACAAUUUGCUGACUAGGUGGCUGAAGGAUGCAUAUAGGAAAGCUUGCUACCUAGUAUUCCGGCAGGAAACAUGGCGGCAGCCAUAUACCACACAUAAGGAACAACCUACACAAACAAGAACAAGAACAAGCUCAUCUAGUAUCUGCAAUUUGGUUUAGAAACUGGAAUUGAUAUGAGACUUCUAUAUAUGUAUAUAUGAAUCUGUACCUUGUAGAGGGCAUCAACCAUGGCUUCGGGAUCCUUGAUGUUGGUCCCAUAUGCGUCGAGGGCUUUGCCAAGCAGCAAGUACCCUACUGGUUGGGCCAGGCCAUGGACAAUGGAGCCCAAGGUGCCCAGUGCCAUGAGAACCCAAUCCAAACCAUCUGCAUAGCUCAAAAGCUUAUGAAAUGGCAGAGCCUCCUCCCCCAUUGCUGUAUCACCAUCUCCCUCAGUCUUCUUCUUCUUCUUCACGUCCAUUGCUGCAAGCAGAGAGUGUGUCAGUGCUGCUUCAGUGGUGGAUCCAUGGCCUUCUUAUAUAAUUUUAUUAAACCAAUGUGCCCAAAGGAAUAUGCCUGGGCAAUGGAGAAUAUGCAUGAUAAGGAACCUGUUGGUUGCUUCUCCCUGUUUGCGUUAGCCUGCUGCUAUACCUAAAAGACAAUGCACAAUGAAACAUACUUGGAUAUAUAAUUUAUUUUUUCUUUAAUCCAUUUCAUUUUUAGGCUA